RNAcentral lists this ribosomal RNA (492 nucleotides) under uncultured bacterium. RNAcentral describes it as "partial 16S ribosomal RNA". It matches the Rfam family "Bacterial small subunit ribosomal RNA", at positions 29 to 507 of the family's 1533-position model. The record is from RNAcentral.
AGUGAACGCUGGCGGUAGGCCUAACACAUGCAAGUCGAACGGAAGCACAGUAAGAGCUUGCUCUUACGGGUGGCGAGUGGCGGACGGGUGAGGAAUACAUCGGAAUCUACUUUUUCGUGGGGGAUAACGUAGGGAAACUUACGCUAAUACCGCAUACGACCUACGGGUGAAAGCAGGGGAUCUUCGGACCUUGCGCGAUUGAAUGAGCCGAUGUCGGAUUAGCUAGUUGGCGGGGUAAAGGCCCACCAAGGCGACGAUCCGUAGCUGGUCUGAGAGGACGAUCAGCCACACUGGAACUGAGACACGGUCCAGACUCCUACGGGAGGCAGCAGUGGGGAAUAUUGGACAAUGGGCGCAAGCCUGAUCCAGCCAUACCGCGUGGGUGAAGAAGGCCUUCGGGUUGUAAAGCCCUUUUGUUGGGAAAGAAAAGCAGCAGGUUAAUACCCCGCUGUUCUGACGGUACCCAAAGAAUAAGCACCGGCUAACUUCGUG